CAUAAUGUUAAUGACUCUCUAUUUGUUGCAGGUCUAUUGGUUUACAUUUAUUGUGAGGCUCUUGAUAAAACUGAUUAUGAAAGGCGGAGAAGUUGAAGACACUAGAGAGUUCAGUGAAAAUGAAUCUAAAAAGAAUUAGUUUUCUAUUACUGUAAUAAUUUCAGUGGUUUUUCAUCUUCCGUUUUAGAUGCCAUUUUCAUGCA
This is a long non-coding RNA of Amphimedon queenslandica, 203 nucleotides long. RefSeq lists it as uncharacterized. Lineage: Eukaryota; Metazoa; Porifera; Demospongiae; Haplosclerida; Niphatidae. The record is from RefSeq and is a predicted model, not a curated record. The transcript has 2 exons.